CCUACGGGAGGCAGCAGUGAGGAAUAUUGCACAAUGGGGGGAACCCUGAUGCAGCAACGCCGCGUGGAGGAUGACGCAUUUCGGUGUGUAAACUCCUUUUAUUAGGGAAGAUAAUGACGGUACCUAAKAAAAGCACCGGCUAACUCCG
RNAcentral lists this ribosomal RNA (148 nucleotides) under uncultured Campylobacterota bacterium. Its description in RNAcentral is "uncultured Epsilonproteobacteria bacterium partial 16S ribosomal RNA". It matches the Rfam family "Bacterial small subunit ribosomal RNA", at positions 338 to 505 of the family's 1533-position model. Lineage: Bacteria; Pseudomonadati; Campylobacterota. The record is from RNAcentral.